GAUGAACGCUGGCGGCGUGCCUAACACAUGCAAGUCGAGCGGCAGCGAGGGGUGCUUGCACCCUGUCGGCGAGCGGCGGACGGCUGAGUAACUCGUGGGAACGUGCCCCAAAGUGAGGAAUAACUGCCCGAAAGGGGAGCUAAUACCGCAUAUUAUCUUCGGAUCAAAGGAUUUUUCCGCUUUGGGAGCGGCGCGCGUCGGAUUAGGUAGUUGGUGAGGUAAUGGCUCACCAAGCCGACGAUCCGUAGAUGGUCUGAGAGGAUGACCAGCCAGACUGGACCUGAGACACGGUCCCGACUCCUCCGGGAGGCAGCAGUGGGGAAUCUUCCACAAUGGGCGAGAGCCUGAUGGAGCAGCGACGCGUGCAGGACGAAGGUCUUCGGGUUGUAAACUGCUUUUAUAAGUGAGGAAUAUGACGGUAACUUAUGAAUAAGGAUCGGCUCACUACGUG
RNAcentral lists this ribosomal RNA (451 nucleotides) under uncultured bacterium. RNAcentral's name for it is "partial 16S ribosomal RNA". It matches the Rfam family "Bacterial small subunit ribosomal RNA", at positions 28 to 507 of the family's 1533-position model. The record is from RNAcentral.